GGAAAGAAAAUGGAAAAAAACCCCAACAAAGCCAACGUGGUGAAACAGACAUCUGAGCAUAGGGUCCUACGCAUUCCGCUCCCUGGAUGAAGAUUACCCCCAGCAAAGUCCUCACCCAUCCAUUCAUUACCAGGUGCUACCUCAACAAGAGCGCCACCCUAGACAACUGCAAUAUAAAUUUAGAGUUUUCAUCAACUGAAUCCGUCCCGAGUCAGAUGGAAAAUCCCAAUAUGAACCAGGCAGCUGAACAUGAAACCAACGAUGUGGCUGAACUCAGCAUGAACCAGGCAGCCGAACAUAGUCCUGCUCCGCUCCUGCCACUUUUCUGGAUGAGACCAAUAACCCAGAUAAAACAGAUGACAGCGAGCCCAAGAGGAAGACAUGCUGCAGUUUGAGCGACGUAGAGGAGUAUGAACAAAUUUGUUUCAGCUCAAAGGACAUGUGGCGAAGUGGGGAGAUUACAUGUGGCGAAGUGGGGAGAUUACUUGGCAUACAUUGUUAUGUGGACAGACCUUGAAGUAAAGUACACACCAUGUAAAUAAUACAUACACAGCACAAAUAAAAAUUCUCUGUUGCUUGUAAAUUA
Molecule: long non-coding RNA, 586 nt
Organism: Thunnus maccoyii (southern bluefin tuna)
Lineage: Eukaryota; Metazoa; Chordata; Actinopteri; Scombriformes; Scombridae
Exons: 3
Source: RefSeq, a predicted model, not a curated record